This 253-nucleotide ribosomal RNA is filed under the name uncultured bacterium. Its description in RNAcentral is "partial 16S ribosomal RNA". It matches the Rfam family "Bacterial small subunit ribosomal RNA", at positions 524 to 776 of the family's 1533-position model. The record is from RNAcentral.
UACAGAGGUCUCAAGCGUUGUUCGGAUUCAUUGGGCGGAAAGGGUGCGUAGGCGGCGCGGUAAGUCGGGUGUGAAAUCUCGGAGCUUAACUCCGAAACUGCAUUCGAUACUGCCGUGCUUGAGGACUGGAGAGGAGACUGGAAUUUACGGUGUAGCGGUGAAAUGCGUAGAUAUCGUAAGGAAGACCAGUGGCGAAGGCGGGUCUCUGGACAGUUACUGACGCUGAGGCACGAAGGUCAGGGGAGCAAACAGG